Long non-coding RNA from Physeter macrocephalus (sperm whale), 2559 nucleotides. RefSeq lists it as uncharacterized. The record is from RefSeq and is a predicted model, not a curated record. Lineage: Eukaryota; Metazoa; Chordata; Mammalia; Artiodactyla; Physeteridae. The transcript is spliced from 3 exons.
CAGGGGUGAAGAAGAGAGAAGAGAGGACAAGUGGUUCUGGAGGACUUCCUGGAGGAGGCGGGGUAGAGAUUUGCAAAGUCAACAAAGGAGGAAGCUUUCAAGAACACUGCUCUCUGAGCAAUUUCCAGCUGGUGGCUUCUAAAGAGAACAUGACACCGCCCGCAUCUGCCUGCCCAGACGCCUGAGUUAUCACCGGCGGAAUAAGCCAGAUCCAAGCUCUUGCUACCAAAGACCCUCCCAGUGGCCCAUGCCCUCCUCUCAGCUGACAAGCUUAAUCCCCCAUGAAGCUCUGCCUUCCAGGACGUUUGGACGUCUCUGAGCUGAGUCUCUUCCUGGGACCACUCUGACCUCAUGAUUCUCUUCUUUGGUAAGCCAGCUGUCAGCCCACACCUGGACCGCACUGCAUAAUCAUCUUCACCUGGCCAUAGCGUCUAACAGAUCACAACAGCUCACACAGCCAGUCUGUAACCAAGCCUGUCCUCCUUAACUAACUUCAGCAAAAUCCUUUCUCAUGCGAAACAGUGAAACCAGCCUACUUUGUUGCAACAUGUUUUCAUCUGAGAUAUGGUGUCAAUUGUCAUUAGGUGGAAACGGGCAUCUUGGGAAGUCCAAAAAGGAAGAACACGGGCAGUUUCAAAUGACACCACUGAUACAUAUGCGAAAUGCACCAACAUAGACGUGAACAUAGGAUUUUAAGUGUUCUUCAGAUAAAGCACGCUAGCUAAACUAUGUUGUUUUCAGAUACCAUGUCUGAUGGUCCCUUUUCCAGGCCAGACCACCGGACUGGGGUGUCAAGUCUCGUGUGGCAGCGGGGGAGCUUCCUGUUUCCGACGACAUGGAGAAAGUUUCUGUGUCUCUCUCUUCACCUCUCUUCUGAUCUCAGGAGGAGACACACUUUCCCCAAAGUGAGAUGUCCAUAGAGCCAGUCGAAGUCCAUGGAGAGAGGGGGUGUGUCCGCACCAGCUCCUCCAUUUCAGUUCUUGCGGGGAGGGGCUCCAAACCCUACGCCAGAGGACAAUGAUUGACCAUAAAAUGUGAAGCGCCUGCUCUGAGCCCCCUAGAGCUGCCGGGACAGGCAGCAGAGGGGAGCCAGCGGGACCUGCGUUCGUGCUUUCUUUCCCUUUUAAUGACUUCCUCUGCAGACAAAGCCCCACCGGGAUAGAACUUACCCAGUUCAGAAUGUCCCAGGACACUUUAUCAGGCUGCCCUUGUUCUCAAAGGCUGCUGUGCUCUGCGGGUGACCUCUUGGGCCUCCCCCCACGCCUCCUAGCUCCUCCAAGGCGAGGACAGAGUCUCCCGACCCCACAGUGCUGGUGGCCAGGGUCCGAGCUAGAUCUUGGACCCCUUGACAUCCGGGGCUGCCCCCGUGGCAGGCUGCACAGCACGUGGUCCCAGGGCGCACAGGUGUUCCCCGGGUCCCUCAAGAUGUCUGAGCUCGGGGUUAUAGCCUUGAGCACCAGAGAUCUGCGUUUUGCAUUAAUACACCUGAAACGUUCGUUCCCGAUUUACCUUUCAAAUUGUGCCUGUAGCCGAGUCCUGUGGGAGGGUCCCUGGUGCAGACACGGCCCAACAAGACAAGGCUCCUCGGGGGCCUCGGGGCCAGUGUUUCCCCCCAGGGCGGAUGAGGGCCUCUGUGGCCUUUGGGCAAUGGAGGCAAUGCCCCAAAGGGAGCUGGAUCCUUCCACCCUCUCGUUUCUCUGUGCCGGUCACAUCCAAGAAAACAUCUUGUUAGUGACAGCCCAUCUCCAGCACCUGUCUGACACCCACCAGUGUCCCCUCACAAACAAGGAAAGAGCAGGUCUAAGGCUCAGGGGCCCUUCGCAGGCAGCAGUAUUCGGCUAAAAUCAAAUACCACUUUCUCUUUUAUCUAUUUUUUAUGGUAACCUCUCUAUGGUAAUGACACAGAUUUACCUUUUUAAAACUAAACUCACUCUUUUAGUAAAAUACAUAAAUUGUUCAGAGGGAAAAAAAGUGUAAAUAAUGGCUUCAAGGAAUAAAAUCCAAAAUGAAGUUUGGAAACACCAAGUCUGAUCCUGCUUCUGACAUUUGAAAUGCUUUCACAGUAUCAGCAUCAGAAGAUCGGCUAGUUCUGCUCACACACCUCCCGUGAUGGGGAGCUCACUACCUACAAAAGGCAUCUCCAUUCGGCUCUCCUGGGAAAUGCUGCUCCCAGCAAUUUCCACACUGAGCCCAGGUCUGCAGGGCAGCUCAAUUCCCUGUCCUCAUGGGGAAAUCUUCGUGGAGCGGGCACCUGUCCACUCCCAGCAGCCUCCUCUGCCAGGCAGAACAGCCGACUCCCCAGCAGUUCCUCAUCCUCUUGGAGGGAACUUCUCCAUCCAGGAACAACAGUUGCUGGUUUUUCACUCUUUUUUUUUUUUUUGCGGUACGCGGGCCUCUCACUGUCGUGGCCUCUCCCGUUGCGGAGCACAGGCUCCGGACGCGCAGGCUCAGCGGCCACGGCUCACGGGCCCAGCCGCUCCGCGGCAUGUGGGAUCCUCCCGGACCGGGGCGCGAACCCAGUUCCCCUGCAUCGGCAGGCGGACUCUCAACCACUGCGCC